RNAcentral lists this ribosomal RNA (305 nucleotides) under uncultured bacterium. Its description in RNAcentral is "bacterial SSU rRNA". It matches the Rfam family "Bacterial small subunit ribosomal RNA", at positions 338 to 640 of the family's 1533-position model. The record is from RNAcentral.
CCUACGGGGGGCAGCAGUGAGGAAUAUUGGUCAAUGGGAGAGAUCCUGAACCAGCCAAGCCGCGUGAGGGAAGACGGCCCUAUGGGUUGUAAACCUCUUUUGUCGGAGAACAAAACCCGGGACGUGUCCCGGACUGCGUGUAUCCGAAGAAAAAGCAUCGGCUAACUCCGUGCCAGCAGCCGCGGUAAUACGGAGGAUGCGAGCGUUAUCCGGAUUUAUUGGGUUUAAAGGGCGUGCAGCCGGGCCGACAAGUCAGAUGUGAAAUCCGCGGGCUUAACCUGCGAACUGCAUUUGAAACUAUUGGU